This 893-nucleotide ribosomal RNA is filed under the name uncultured Bacillota bacterium. Its description in RNAcentral is "bacterial SSU rRNA". It matches the Rfam family "Bacterial small subunit ribosomal RNA", at positions 28 to 897 of the family's 1533-position model. The record is from RNAcentral. Lineage: Bacteria; Bacillati; Bacillota.
GACGAACGCUGGCGGCGUGCCUAAGACAUGCAAGUCGAGCGGGGCUUCGGGGCUUCGGCCCUGAAGCCUAGCGGCGGACGGGUGAGUAACACGUGGAUAACCUGCCCUCUGCUCUGGGAUAACAGGCCGAAAGGCCUGCUAAUACCGGAUAAGCUCACGGUCCCGCAUGGGGCUGGGAGAAAAGGCGCUGGAGUCAGUGGCGCUGGCAGAGGAGGGGUCCGCGGCCCAUUAGCUGGUUGGCGGGGUAACGGCCCACCAAGGCGACGAUGGGUAGCCGGCCUGAGAGGGCGACCGGCCACACUGGGACUGAGACACGGCCCAGACUCCUACGGGAGGCAGCAGUCGGGAAUUUUGCACAAUGGGCGAAAGCCUGAUGCAGCAACGCCGCGUGAGCGAAGAAGGCCUUCGGGUUGUAAAGCUCUGUUGCCUGCGAAGAAGAGCCCCGUCAGGAAAUGGGCGGGGUUUGACGGUAGCAGGCGAGGAAGCCCCGGCAAACUACGUGCCAGCAGCCGCGGUAAUACGUAGGGGGCGAGCGUUGUCCGGAAUUACUGGGCGUAAAGGGCGUGUAGGCGGCCUGUUAAGUCAGGGGUGAAAGACCGGGGCUCAACCCCGGGGGUGCCUCUGAAACUGGCGGGCUUGAGUGCUCUAGAGGGCAGUGGAAUUCCCGGUGUAGCAGUGAAAUGCGUAGAGAUCGGGAGGAACACCAGUGGCGAAGGCGGCUGCCUGGGGAGUCACUGACGCUGAGGCGCGAAAGCUAGGGGAGCAAACAGGAUUAGAUACCCUGGUAGUCCUAGCCGUAAACGAUGAGUGCUAUGUGUGAGGGGUAUCGACCCCCCUCGUGCAGGAGCUAACGCACUAAGCACUCCGCCUGGGGAGUACGGCCGCAAGGUUGA